This 353-nucleotide transfer RNA is filed under the name Xanthomonas dyei. RNAcentral describes it as "partial 16S-23S ribosomal RNA intergenic spacer". The stretch from base 98 to 171 matches the Rfam family "tRNA". The record is from RNAcentral. Lineage: Bacteria; Pseudomonadati; Pseudomonadota; Gammaproteobacteria; Lysobacterales; Lysobacteraceae.
GGGGCCUUAGCUCAGCUGGGAGAGCACCUGCUUUGCAAGCAAGGGGUCGUCGGUUCGAUCCCGACAGGCUCCACCAAUAUUGAGUGAAAAGACUUCCGGGUCUGUAGCUCAGGUGGUUAGAGCGCACCCCUGAUAAGGGUGAGGUCGGUAGUUCGAGUCUACCCAGACCCACCACUCUGAAUGUAGUGCACACUUAAGAAUUUAUACGGAUCAGCGUUGAGGCUGGUACGUGUUCUUUUAUAACUUGUGACGUAGCGAGCGUUUGAGAUAUCUAUCUAAACGUGUCGUUGAGGCUAAGGCGGGGACUUCGAGUCCCUAAAUAAUUGAGUCGUAUGUUCGCGUUGGUGGCUUUG